Long non-coding RNA from Gopherus evgoodei (Goodes thornscrub tortoise), 138 nucleotides. RefSeq lists it as uncharacterized. The record is from RefSeq and is a predicted model, not a curated record. Lineage: Eukaryota; Metazoa; Chordata; Testudines; Testudinidae. The transcript has 3 exons.
CCCAUUUUGAAUGGGUAUGUCUACACUACAAAAUUAGGUUGAAUUUAUAGAAGUCGGUGUUUCAGAAAUCGUUUUUACACAGUCGAUUGUGUUUGUCCCCACACAAAAUGCUUUAAGUGCAUUCAGUCGGCGGACUGC